UCUUAUUCUUCUUAUCAAUUUUCGUGUUUCGUUUCUUCUGGAUUCACAGUGGAAGAAGAACUUGCAACAUGGAGAGAUUCGGAGGCGGUGGUGGUGGUGGUGAUACUCUACAACUUGAUUCGAAUUCAUCAGGGAAGAGGAAGACGGUGUGAAGGUUGUGCGAGUUGAGUUGAGAAUCUAAACAACCCAUACAUAAGUGAUACCAGCCAUGAUAGAUUUAAAUUAACGGCUAAACAAAUUGUACGCUUGGAGCUUAGUAGAAUACGAAAGGGUCAUCAUGCUUGAAUGAAAAUCUUUUUCGUAUUUAUAUAUGGAGAUGUCUUUAAUGUCUGCACUCUGAAAUUAAAGAUGGAACGAGGAACCUCGGAAGGAAAUUGAAGAGUCAAUGACUUUUGCCAAGAGACACUCAACAGGCCCCAAAACCUAUCAAGGAGAUCAAGAAGUUUGCACAAAAAGCCAUGGGAACCACUAACGUAAGAGUGGAAGUCAGAUUAAACAAAUACGUUUACAGCCGCGGAAUCAGAAAUGUAUCAAACACAUCGAGCUUCGUAUAGUUGAAGGGUUGACUAUAGUUCAGUCUCCACGGUCUUUUAUAGGUCAACAUAGCAGCAGCCUCUAGAGCUUCAGCACAACAUUUAUAUAAGUUUUAAGGCUAAGAAGGCAACACUUGAAGACCUAGAAGAGAGGGGAAGAAGAGGUCCGAUAGAUGAUCCGAAGAAGCUCCCAAAGUAGAAUUAUGAUGGGUCUUGUGGGUUUGAGUCAUAUGGUUCUAACCAGGCUGAGUUUAGGUGACAUGGACUGUUUUAGAAAGUGGUCGACUGGUUUGGGUUAGAACGAGUUCGGGUUUGAGUGGGUUCCGGCAAAACUGAAUACGGUUCAAAUCGAAGUAUUUAAAAAAGUGGUCAUUUUGGUUUGGGCAGAACGAUUUUAUAGCGUUGGGCAGGGUAACGGGUCGUAGAAGGUUCGGGUCUCAAUGUGUUCCAACCAAAAUUGAGUACAGGUCAAAAGAUGUUGUUUUAAAUUGGGGUCAUUUGGUAGCUCUGUGCUUAUUAAAUUUUUGCAGACACAAAUGAUAUGGUUGAUAAAGCAAUCAUUUUCUUUAUAGUGAACUAGGUUAGAAC
RNAcentral lists this long non-coding RNA (1121 nucleotides) under Helianthus annuus (common sunflower). The record is from RNAcentral. Lineage: Eukaryota; Viridiplantae; Streptophyta; Magnoliopsida; Asterales; Asteraceae.